AAACCAACAGGGAUUGCCUUAGUAGCGGCGAGUGAAGCGGCAAAAGCUCAAAUUUGAAAUCUGGUACUUUCAGUAUCCGAGUUGUAAUUUGUAGAAGCAACUUUGGUGAUGGUCUUUGCAUAAGUUCCUUGGAAUAGGACGUCAUAGAGGGUGAGAAUCCCGUAUAUGGUGAAGAACCCACACUAUGUAAAGUGCUUUCGAAGAGUCGAGUUGUUUGGGAAUGCAGCUCAAAGUGGGUGGUAAAUUCCAUCUAAAGCUAAAUAUUGGCGAGAGACCGAUAGCGAACAAGUACUGUGAAGGAAAGAUGAAAAGAACUUUGAAAAGAGAGUGAAAAAGUACGUGAAAUUGUUGAAAGGGAAGGGAUCUAAAUCAGACAUGGUAUUUUGUGAUCAACAGUCUUUCGGGAUUGUGCACUCGCAUUUUACUAGGCCAGCAUCGGUUAGAAGGGGGUAAAAAAGAUUUUGGAAUGUGGCUCCUCGGAGUGUUAUAGCCAAAGUUAAUUGCCCCAUUUCUGACCGAGGACCGCGUCUUUUGACUAGGAUGCUGGCGUAAUG
Molecule: ribosomal RNA, 554 nt
Filed under: Zygoascus hellenicus
Lineage: Eukaryota; Fungi; Ascomycota; Dipodascomycetes; Dipodascales; Trichomonascaceae
Description: eukaryotic LSU rRNA
Rfam family: Eukaryotic large subunit ribosomal RNA
Source: RNAcentral